This 465-nucleotide ribosomal RNA is filed under the name Vreelandella stevensii. RNAcentral describes it as "partial 16S ribosomal RNA". It matches the Rfam family "Bacterial small subunit ribosomal RNA", at positions 338 to 795 of the family's 1533-position model. The record is from RNAcentral. Lineage: Bacteria; Pseudomonadati; Pseudomonadota; Gammaproteobacteria; Oceanospirillales; Halomonadaceae.
CCUACGGGAGGCAGCAGUGGGGAAUAUUGGACAAUGGGCGAAAGCCUGAUCCAGCCAUGCCGCGUGUGUGAAGAAGGCCUUCGGGUUGUAAAGCACUUUCAGUGGGGAAGAAAGCCUUGGGGCUAAUACCCUCGAGGAAGGACAUCACCCACAGAAGAAGCACCGGCUAACUCCGUGCCAGCAGCCGCGGUAAUACGGAGGGUGCGAGCGUUAAUCGGAAUUACUGGGCGUAAAGCGCGCGUAGGCGGUCUGAUAAGCCGGUUGUGAAAACCCCGGGCUCAACCUGGGAACGGCAUCCGGAACUGUCAGGCUAGAGUGCAGGAGAGGAAGGUAGAAUUCCCGGUGUAGCGGUGAAAUGCGUAGAGAUCGGGAGGAAUACCAGUGGCGAAGGCGGCCUUCUGGACUGACACUGACGCUGAGGUGCGAAAGCGUGGGUAGCAAACAGGAUUAGAUACCCCAGUAGUC